UAUGAUCUAGGCCUGUUCUGACCGCAGUGGAUCUCUUCUGUGUUUUUUGAAUCCCAUGUUGGACCGAGCCUCUCCAAGCUUUGGGCCUUCAGAAGAUGCUGAUGAGAUCUGCAGCGACCAAACCAGAGGAGGAUCAUCUGAGCUGCUGACCUUCACAAAGAACUCUGUGGUCGUCCUAAAGCAGAACUCCUGUGAGGAACCGGGACAUCCAGGAUGGUGAGGAGCUUCCCAGUCCCCACCUGAGGACGGCACAGAGAAAGACUGGAACAGAAAGCACACGGACAGGUUGAACAUGGAAACAGUGAUCUAGCAGCCGGA
Cyprinodon tularosa is the source of this 318-nucleotide long non-coding RNA. RefSeq lists it as uncharacterized. The record is from RefSeq and is a predicted model, not a curated record. The transcript is spliced from 3 exons. Lineage: Eukaryota; Metazoa; Chordata; Actinopteri; Cyprinodontiformes; Cyprinodontidae.